This 253-nucleotide ribosomal RNA is filed under the name uncultured bacterium. RNAcentral describes it as "partial 16S ribosomal RNA". It matches the Rfam family "Bacterial small subunit ribosomal RNA", at positions 524 to 776 of the family's 1533-position model. The record is from RNAcentral.
UACGUAGGAGGCGAGCGUUGUCCGGAGUUACUGGGCGUAAAGGGUGCGCAGGCGGCCAUUGAAGUUUGCGGUGAAAUCUCCCGGCUUACCUGGGAGGGUGCCGUGAAAACUGGAUGGCUUGAGGCUCGGGGAGGGGCGUGGAAUUCCGGGUGGAGCGGUGAAAUGCGUAGAGAUCCGGAGGAACACCGACGGCGUAGGCAGCGCCCUAAACGAGUUCUGACGCUCAGGCACGAAAGCUGGGGGAGCAAACAGG